This 815-nucleotide ribosomal RNA is filed under the name uncultured bacterium. RNAcentral's name for it is "bacterial SSU rRNA". It matches the Rfam family "Bacterial small subunit ribosomal RNA", at positions 8 to 811 of the family's 1533-position model. The record is from RNAcentral.
AGAGUUUGAUCCUGGCUCAGGAUGAACGCUAGCUACAGGCUUAACACAUGCAAGUCGAGGGGCAGCAUGAAAGUUUGCUUGCAAACUUUUGAUGGCGACCGGCGCACGGGUGAGUAACACGUAUCCAACCUGCCUCAUACUCGGGGAUAGCCUUUCGAAAGAAAGAUUAAUACCCGAUGUCAUAGUCCUACCGCAUGAUGGGAUUAUUAAAGAAUUUCGGUAUGGGAUGGGGAUGCGUUCCAUUAGUUAGUUGGCGGGGUAACGGCCCACCAAGACAACGAUGGAUAGGGGUUCUGAGAGGAAGGUCCCCCACAUUGGAACUGAGACACGGUCCAAACUCCUACGGGAGGCAGCAGUGAGGAAUAUUGGUCAAUGGACGAGAGUCUGAACCAGCCAAGUAGCGUGAAGGAUGACUGCCCUAUGGGUUGUAAACUUCUUUUAUAUGGGAAUAAAAUGUUCCACGUGUGGGAUUUUGUAUGUACCAUAUGAAUAAGGAUCGGCUAACUCCGUGCCAGCAGCCGCGGUAAUACGGAGGAUCCGAGCGUUAUCCGGAUUUAUUGGGUUUAAAGGGAGCGUAGGUGGAUUGUUAAGUCAGUUGUGAAAGUUUGCGGCUCAACCGUAAAAUUGCAGUUGAAACUGGCAGUCUUGAGUACAGUAGAGGUGGGCGGAAUUCGUGGUGUAGCGGUGAAAUGCUUAGAUAUCACGAAGAACUCCGAUUGCGAAGGCAGCUCACUGGACUGCAACUGACACUGAGGCUCGAAAGUGUGGGUAUCAAACAGGAUUAGAUACCCUGGUAGUCCACUCAGUAAACGAUG